This 474-nucleotide ribosomal RNA is filed under the name uncultured bacterium. RNAcentral's name for it is "bacterial SSU rRNA". It matches the Rfam family "Bacterial small subunit ribosomal RNA", at positions 28 to 501 of the family's 1533-position model. The record is from RNAcentral.
GAUGAACGCUGGCGGCGUGCCUAAUACAUGCAAGUCGAACGCGAGCACUUGUGCUCGAGUGGCGAACGGGUGAGUAAUACAUAAGUAACCUGCCCUAGACAGGGGGAUAACUAUUGGAAACGAUAGCUAAGACCGCAUAGGUACGGACACUGCAUGGUGACCGUAUUAAAAGUGCCUCAAAGCACUGGUAGAGGAUGGACUUAUGGCGCAUUAGCUGGUUGGCGGGGUAACGGCCCACCAAGGCGACGAUGCGUAGCCGACCUGAGAGGGUGACCGGCCACACUGGGACUGAGACACGGCCCAGACUCCUACGGGAGGCAGCAGUAGGGAAUUUUUCGGGCAAUGGGGGAAACCCUGACCGAGCAACGCCGCGUGAAGGAAGAAGGAUCUAUGGUUUGUAAACUUCUUUUAUAGGGAAUAAAGUGGAGGACGUGUCCUUUUUUGUAUGUACCCUAUGAAUAAGCAUCGGCUAAC